This 385-nucleotide ribosomal RNA is filed under the name uncultured fungus. RNAcentral describes it as "partial small subunit ribosomal RNA". It matches the Rfam family "Eukaryotic small subunit ribosomal RNA", at positions 30 to 432 of the family's 1831-position model. The record is from RNAcentral. Lineage: Eukaryota; Fungi.
GCUUGUCUCAAAGAUUAAGCCAUGCAUGUUCAAGUAUAGCAAGUGUACAGUGAAACUGCGAAUGGCUCAUUAAAUCAGUUAUAAUUUAUUUGAUAGUGAAAUUGUACAUGGAUAACCGUGGCAAUUCUAGGGCUAAUACAUGCGUCAAUGGUCGGUCGACCAGUAUUUAUUAGAUACAAAGCCAGCCGUCAGGAUCAGGUGAAUCAUGAUAACUGUUCGAAGCGCACGGCCUCGCGCCGGCGCUAGUUCAUUCAAAUUUCUGCCCUAUCAGCUUUCGACGGUAGUGUAGUGGACUACCGUGGCGCUAACGGGUGACGGAGAAUUAGGGUUCGGUUCCGGAGAGGGAGCCUGAGAAACGGCUACCACAUCCAAGGAAGGCAGCAGG